UCCCGUGCAUAUCUGACAUUUUAACCAAUCAGAUCACAGAUCGAGGAAGCGAAACUGAUGUCAUUUCUGAAAGCAGACUGGGCAGACUGCAUUCACUCAUGGAGUAAGAGGCACAAACACACCUGAAAGUGGCUUCAUAGAAGAAGAGGACACGCUUCACUCAGCUGUUCACACAGUCGGUGGUUCUGCUUUGAUGUGUAACCGAUAUGUCAACUGAGUAACCGGGAACUUUGAGUGCAGAAAGAAGCACACGGAGAAGACUGGAGUCUCUGAAUCUUUCUCUUUGAGACUGUGGACCUGCUCUCCUCUGUUAUAUAUACAUAAUGAGGGUUUCAUGGAGUCUUUUCUCUCUGUGGGAUUUGAUCAUCUGCUUGAAUGUCUCUAAAGGAUACUGGGUGACACACAGAGAGACCAGAAGUAGCCAUAAGUAAACAGGAUAGACACAACACAAAACCUGAGCUGAACCUGACUGUGUUAAUGCUGAUGAAGCUGUGAACCAGGAUCCGGUCCAGCCGGCAGGACAUGACUCACAGGAAGCUCACAAACUGCUCACACAGAGGAAAAAAGCACACUGGGGAUCAUAUUCACUGUGAUCCUCCAUGUUCAGGCUCCACGUGUCACAGACCCGGCUCUGGAGGACUCGGGGGUCCGUGAGCAGUUAUGGACUGUUGUUAUUAUUAUUAUUAUUAUUUAGGGGCUGUGUCGUCUACUGUUCGGUCCACAGUUGAAUGUGUAGUGUGUGUUUGCGUGUGGGUUUGCUUCUCCCUCUCUCUCUCCCCGGUCCUCGGGCUGUUUACAGAAGUGCACGCCGUGGGAGAGGCGUGUCCUGGCGACUGUCAUCAUUGGGAGUCCCUCUUCACUGUUACCGGCCCACCUGCAGCUGAUUACCUGACCAGCUGUUGGUAAUCAUCCCUCCCGGCUGGAGAGAGGUAUUUAACCUGGACUCGCGGCGACAGUCGACGUGGGAUUAUUACUCCGAACUGGAUAGCCGAGCGGAGAAGCGAGUUGGGG
This is a long non-coding RNA of Oreochromis niloticus (Nile tilapia), 1011 nucleotides long. RefSeq lists it as uncharacterized. The record is from RefSeq and is a predicted model, not a curated record. NCBI's taxonomy places the organism in Eukaryota, Metazoa, Chordata, Actinopteri, Cichliformes, Cichlidae. The transcript is spliced from 3 exons.